Long non-coding RNA from Numida meleagris (helmeted guineafowl), 2449 nucleotides. RefSeq lists it as uncharacterized. The transcript is spliced from 2 exons. The record is from RefSeq and is a predicted model, not a curated record. NCBI's taxonomy places the organism in Eukaryota, Metazoa, Chordata, Aves, Galliformes, Numididae.
UCCCUGCAGACUAACCGGAACUGCGUGCUGCGGGAGGAGAUGUGAAAGAGGCAGAAAAACUUCACGCUCCGGAGGAAUAGGGAUUGUUCCCAGCGUCUUGCACCGAGACGCCGGGCAGCGCGCCAGCACGGCUCUCCCUUCUCUCCCCCAGACAAAGAGAAGCGAGCAGCCAGCCGAGAGCUGCUGCCCUGGGGAGCGCGGAGUUCGCAGGAAUGUUCGAUCGCUCCGAGCCGUUCACGUCGCAAGGAAGGAACUCGGCGGCCCAGCACCAAAGCGGCGGCAUCAGCACAGCCCGUGGAACCCGACUCAGGCCGACCCUCGCGGCCGCGGGACCUCCUCCCGGAGGGGCGAUUCGGAGCAGCCACGGAACCACCGCGGGGGCGGGGGCGGCCCGGAGCGACCCAGAGAUCUUCAUUAGCACGGAAACCACGGAUGGGCGUAACUAGUGAUACUGAAAGAGCCUGGAUGGUUACAGGCCCUCUACCAGCUGCAAAUCAUCCCGAUGCAUGCCCAAGCCCAGUGUGACCUUCUGGAGCUACACAAGGAUGGAGGCAGGAGCCUUUCCAGGUUGGGCAGUGCUGCGGCAGUAAGGCUAUCCUUGUCGUUUAACCUGAUUGGUGACACAACAGCACUGAAGUCCUUUCUGUCAAGGGAGAUGUCUGCCUGACUCCAGGGCUGGGGAUGUACAGUGCUGGCACAGCAGAUGCACAGCCAUGCAGCUGGCACCAGAGGUAGCAUGAGCUGUUGUCACCUCCCACGCGGUUUAUACUGUAUUCUCUGCUGCACUGGAUCUGGCUGGGAUGGAGUUAACUCUUCUGCCAGCCCAUAUCACACUGUGUUUGGACCUGUAACAAAAGCAGUGUUGAUAACACCCUGUUGUUUUAGCUGUUGCUGAGCAUUGUCUGCACAGUGUGAAGGCUGUUUCUUUUUCACCACGAGUGAGGUGGACACCAACACACAUCGCCUUCCCCAGCUUUCAGGAUCUGCAUUUACUGGGGAUCCCCGUGUUGCCAACGCAGACAGUUGCUCCUGCACACUGUUCUUCAUCAGUGACGUAGGGAUGGCUUAGCAAAACCAGCUUUUUGAUGGUGUUUCCUCCAGAUGGUCAGCUCAGUUCAAAGGGUGCUACUAGCUCUGCAGAGACUCCAGCUGGAAGCAGCAUGCAUGCUCCCAGAAGCUUGCUGGAGAGGAGCUGUCACCCCCACAGCACUGCUGGACAGGAACUCAUAGAAUUCCAGCACAGCUGGGAUGGAAGGGCCCCCCAGCCCCACCCCUGCCGUGGGCUGCCUGCCCCCCAGCUUGGGUUGCCCAGGGCCCAGCCAUGGCCUUGGGCACCUGCAGGGAUGGGGCACCCUCAGCUCGGGGCAGCAGUGCAGAGGCCACACUGCCUUGCUGUUCCCACCACUGCCCCAGCAGGAUAGCUUGAAAUGCUGAGAUGCAGGUGGUAGUGACACAGCCUGCAAACUCUGAACACAGCUGCUCUAUGGGACCAUGGAAAUGAGACCUGUUCCCAAGGUGCCACAGUGCGAUGGGACUGUGAUGGACAUGAAUUUAUUUCAAAGUUAGUUAUUUCAAAGAAAGGUUAGAUGAUUUGCAAUUGAGAUGUCAACUUGUCCAGGUACCUGUACCUGUCCUAUGACAGCAAUAAAAAAAAUGACAGUUUAGUUCUUCAAACUUAUGGCAAAUUCUCCUAUUCUCUAUAGUUAUUGCACAUCCCUGACACAGCUGGGCAGCACCACCCACUCUCAGCCCAGCCCUGGGCUCCUCCUCAAGACCUGGCCUUUCAUGGUUGUGGGGGGUGGGCAUGAGAGCUACCCUGGAAACCCAACAGACCCCGAAGCCGCAUCCCACCAGAGUAACUCAGUCCUGGCCCAUAUAUAGAUGCCCAAACUGUUGCUGGAUGGUGCAGGUCAGGAGAGGAGAGGCUUCUGUAAGAACGGAGUGCAGCCAGGUGAGGGAGCAGCCCUUGGAAGGCCAGAACAUGGGCAUCUUCAUCUGCGGCACAGUUGUGUUUACCCAGACAAUUCUGAAGCUGAGGACAGGCAGGCUGAUGCACAGGAAAAGCUCAGAUCUUGCCACCAGCUGUGCCGAGGCCUGACCUCACCAAGAUGGGCUCCAACCUCUUCCUGACGAGGAAGCAGGAGCACCAAAGCAGUGCAACCCUGUGCUCCGCACAGGCCGGGGGCUGCGGCUCAGAUCCUGCGAGGAAACAACACCUGCUCACACUGGCCCACCCAGUUCUGCACCUGAGCCUUUGGACACCCUGGAACUUGACUGGGAUCUUCUCUGCUGGCAUACGGACACAGUUUGCACCAGCUUUGCAUUUUUUAAGGGUAUUUUAAUUUUAAUUUAGUAUUUCAAUAGCUUUCUUUGCCAAGCUUUGCAGACUUUUGAGACUAUUUUUAAAAUAGUUUUGCUUCUGGUGAAACAGGAGCUUCUUGCAAGCAUA